AGCUCAGAGACGACACCCGAAAUUGGCAGGCUGUACCGGUCCAUUAUCGUAGAUAUCUCAAGAAAACACCCGUGUCGUAAUGCGGCUUGCUGCAUCUAGUACUGAGUUCUUAAGAACUCAAAGCUAGGGGCAGCAAAGCAGAUUAGACACCGUGGUAGUCUUAGCACAAAACGAUCAGGACUUGGGGUGCCACCCGUUCGGGUGUCGUCUCUGAGCUAAAGCGUAAAGUCCUGCACAGGGGAGCACGGUUGCAAGACUGAAACUCAAAGGAAUUGACGGGGGCCCGCACAAGCGGUGGUACAUGCGGUUCAAUUCGACGAUACGGGAGGAACCUUACCUGGGCUCGAAAUGCUGGUGACCAGCUGUAGAAAUACGGCCUUCCCGCAAGUGACACCAGCAUAGGCGUAGCAUUGCUGUUGUCAGCUCGUGCCGUGAGGUGUUGGGUUAAUUCCCGCAACGAGGGCAACCCCUGCACACAGUUACUACUCGCAAGAGAGGACUCUGUGUGGAUUGCUCCGGAUUACGGAGAGGAAGGUGGGGAUGACGCCAAGUCCGCAUGUCCUUUAUGUCCAGGGCUACACACGUGUUACAAUGCAGGGCACAAACCGUUGCCAACCCGCGAGGGGGAGCUAAUUGGAAAAAACUCUGCUCAGUUCGGAUUGCAGUCUGCAACUAGACUGCAUGAAGCCGGAAUCGCUAGUAAUGGCGUAUCAGAUCGACGCCGUGAAUACGUUCCCGGGCCUUGUACACACCGCCCGUCACAUCACGAAAGUGAGUUGUACUAGAAGUCGCCGCGCGAACCGCAAGGACGCAAGCGCCCAAGGUAUGAUUCAUGAUUGGGGCGAAGUCGUAACAAGGUAACCA
RNAcentral lists this ribosomal RNA (864 nucleotides) under uncultured soil bacterium. Its description in RNAcentral is "partial small subunit ribosomal RNA". It matches the Rfam family "Bacterial small subunit ribosomal RNA". The record is from RNAcentral.